GUCUAUUUGGAGGUAUAAAAAGUCUGGCCUGCCCUCUGAAAGUUAAAUUGAAGGGCCGCGGUAAUUUGACUGUGCAAAGGUAGCAUAAUAAUUAGGUUUUUAAUUGGAAUCUUGUAUGAAUGGUUUGACAAAAUAAAAUCUGUCUCUACUGUUAUUAUCGAAUUUAACUUUUAAGUGAAAAGGCUUAGAUAAAUUAAAAAGACGAUAAGACCCUAUAAAGCUUUAUAGAUAUUUUUACUUGAUUAAAUUUAUAAUAAAAAUUAAGUUCAUUGUGUUUAUUUUAUUGGGGCGAUAGAAGUAUAAAGAAUUUAUUAACUGCUUAAGUGAUAAUACAAAUAAUAAAUGAUUUUUUUAAUGGAUCCUUUCAUUAAGAUUUGAAGAUUAAGUUACUUUAGGGAUAACAGCGUUAUUUUUCUUAAGAGUUCAUAUCGAAAGAAAAGUUUGCGACCUCGAUGUUGAAUUAAAAUUUCUGAAUAAUUGCAGCAUUUAUUUUAGAAGGUCUGUUCGACCUUUAAUUUUUUACAUGAUUUGAGUUCAGACCGGCGUGAGCCAGGUUGGUUUCUAUCUUUUAAUAAAAAAUGAACUAUUUUAGUACGAAAGGAUUGGGUAGUUGAAAUAAUUUUAAAGUUGUUUA
RNAcentral lists this ribosomal RNA (634 nucleotides) under Parapinnixa cortesi. Its description in RNAcentral is "partial 16S ribosomal RNA". It matches the Rfam family "Bacterial large subunit ribosomal RNA", at positions 1831 to 2727 of the family's 2925-position model. The record is from RNAcentral. Lineage: Eukaryota; Metazoa; Arthropoda; Malacostraca; Decapoda; Pinnotheridae.